AGGCGGGGAACCUGGGGCGCAGGCUGUGUGUGAGUCAGCCCGGUCGGCCACGCCACA
This 57-nucleotide microRNA precursor is filed under the name Jaculus jaculus (lesser Egyptian jerboa). RNAcentral's name for it is "miRNA (ENSJJAG00000005594.1)". The record is from RNAcentral. Lineage: Eukaryota; Metazoa; Chordata; Mammalia; Rodentia; Dipodidae.